This 1066-nucleotide long non-coding RNA is filed under the name Oryzias javanicus (javanese ricefish). RNAcentral describes it as "lncRNA (ENSOJAG00000017217.1)". The record is from RNAcentral. Lineage: Eukaryota; Metazoa; Chordata; Actinopteri; Beloniformes; Adrianichthyidae.
ACACCUUUUCAUUUGGAAAAAACUUCACUUUUAGCCUGAACGCCAAAAACCCUUCGCGCGCUGAGUUUUACCUGCGCCACCUCGGUCUUGGUUCUGGACUUCCACAGCAUGCCGGACUGGAGGAUGAGGAGGAGGAGCAGGAGGACGAAGAGGCUGAGCGGAGGUCGCGUCGCGGAGAGGAGACCCGGCGGCCUGCUCACCUAACCCGCUCCGGUUCGGUGACGGCGAAAUUGAGGAGGGUGGAGCACGCCGUCUCCAGGCUGGGAUCUCUGAUGCCCCGCCCCUUCAGGGAUGUCCAGAUCUGUAGAAGGAAAUCAACCAGCAGGCGGUGGGCGUCCAGGCCGAGCAGAACCUUCCUGGGGGCGUCCUCUGCAGACAGGUGGCACAGAGCGGGGAGGAGGUACCUGUGCGGGGGUGUAAAAGGUCAGACGACGCUCGUGUUUCAUUCUCACUGCUUCAACGUCUUCAUCUUCACCUUAAAGGCUCCCCGCCCGUCCACGCCCCUCCCUCCUCGCUGACGGACAACUGAGCCAUCCAGUCCGAAAGGCUCUGCUCGUCAGCGCCGCCCUGCAGGUGGUGCCGCGCGUACCCCACCAAAAACGGCAUCAGAUCCAUCACUUCCUGCUUCAGACAGGAAGUCUCCUCAGCCAGCCAGGAGCAUAGUGAGCGGAAGGAGGCGAAAACAAAGGGAUCGCCAUAGCGACUGGCAUCCACCUGACAAAAACAAUAAAAGGGGAGGAGUCAGAGAGGAGCCAGAGAGGCAGUGAAGCAUUGACAGAGGGAGGGGGGGCUUAGACUUCACCUGCUGCAGGUGGAACACGACAGCAGAGAAAGCCUCCUGGAGGACCUGCAGGACCUGCCGGCUCUGCUGCAGGCUGAGGGCGGGGAGGGAAGGGGCGGGGCUCGGAGCAUCAACGGCGCUGCAGGCCUGCUCCAUGGCCGCCUCCAUGAUUCUGUAGCAGCCUAUGAAAAAAGGGGCAUAGUAAAGGUCAGCAGGUCACGCGGCACUCCUCAUCGCAGACUCUGACGUUCUGAAGAAGACCACAACAAACAUCUGGCGCUGCAG